UACCAGCUCUCCGAGUGGUAGGGAUGAUUAUUGGGCUUAAAGCGUCCGUAGCCGGCUUAGCAAGUUUCCUGUUAAAUUCAGCGACCUAAUCGUUGAGCCGCGGGAAAUACUACUAGGCUAGGAGGCGGGAGAGGUCGACGGUACUUCCGGGGUAGGGGUGAAAUCCUAUAAUCCCGGGAGGACCACCAGUGGCGAAGGCUGUUGACUAGAACGCGCUCGACGGUGAGGGACGAAAGCUGGGGGAGCGAACCGGAUUAGAUACCCGGGUAGUCCCAGCUGUAAACGAUGCGAGCUAGGUGUUGGGGUGGCUACGUGCCACUUCAGUGCCGCAGGGAAGCCAUUAAGCUCGCCGCCUGGGGAGUACGGCCGCAAGGCUGAAACUUAAAGGAAUUGGCGGGGAGCACCACAAGGCGUGAAGCUUGCGGUUC
RNAcentral lists this ribosomal RNA (428 nucleotides) under uncultured archaeon. Its description in RNAcentral is "bacterial SSU rRNA". It matches the Rfam family "Archaeal small subunit ribosomal RNA", at positions 474 to 903 of the family's 1478-position model. The record is from RNAcentral.